AUUGAACGCUGGCGGCAGGCCUAACACAUGCAAGUCGAGCGGGGUUUUCGGACCUAGCGGCGGACGGGCGAGUAAUGCGUAGGAAGCUACCCGAUAGAGGGGGAUAGCCCAGAGAAAUUUGGAUUAAUGCCCCAUGGUAUAAUCGGAUGGCAUCAUUUGAUUAUUAAAGUUCCAACGGUAAAAGAUGAGUAUGCGUCCCAUUAGCUAGAUGGUAAGGUAACGGCUUACCAUGGCAAUGAUGGGUAGGGGUCCUGAGAGGGAGAUCCCCCACACUGGUACUGAGACACGGACCAGACUCCUACGGGAGGCAGCAGUGAGGAAUAUUGGACAAUGGGCGCAAGCCUGAUCCAGCCAUGCCGCGUGCAGGAAUAAGGUCCUAUGGAUUGUAAACUGCUUUUAUACAGGAAGAAACACACCCUCGUGAGGGUACUUGACGGUACUGUAUGAAUAAGGACCGCUAACUACGUGCCAGCAGCCGCGGUAAUGUGACU
RNAcentral lists this ribosomal RNA (491 nucleotides) under uncultured bacterium. RNAcentral describes it as "bacterial SSU rRNA". It matches the Rfam family "Bacterial small subunit ribosomal RNA", at positions 30 to 530 of the family's 1533-position model. The record is from RNAcentral.